AAUUGUUCGCAAUGGGCGCAAGCCUGACGACGCAACGCCGCGUGGAGGAUGAAGGUCUUCGGAUUGUAAACUCCUGUUGCCCGGGACGAAUAGCGUCGACCUAACACGUCGACGUCUGACGGUACCGGGUGAGGAAGCCCCGGCUAACUACGUGCCAGCAGCCGCGGUAAGACGUAGGGGGCAAGCGUUAUCCGGAUUCACUGGGCGUAAAGGGCGCGUAGGCGGUUACGUAAGUCCGGCGUGAAAACUCACGGCUCAACCGUGAAACGCCGUCGGAUACUGCGUUGACUAGAGGGCGGUAGAGGUACCUGGAACUAGCGGUGUAGCGGUGAAAUGCGCAGAUAUCGCUAGGAACGCCGGUGGCGAAGGCGAGGUACUGGGCCGUUCCUGACGCUGAGGCGCGAAAGCUAGGGGAGCGAAC
This 421-nucleotide ribosomal RNA is filed under the name uncultured bacterium. Its description in RNAcentral is "bacterial SSU rRNA". It matches the Rfam family "Bacterial small subunit ribosomal RNA", at positions 360 to 773 of the family's 1533-position model. The record is from RNAcentral.